AAAUCAUCCAAAUUCUCCAAACAAUCUAAUUUUUUGGCAACUUCCACUUUCUGGCAAACGUUCAUUCUUAGAUCUUUCAUUCAUCUAGAUUACAUUUAUGUUAGAUUCUUUCUUCAUCGCUACAUCCAUCGUUCCUUCAAUGGCUUCCAGGUCGAGUGCUAGCAGUGCUAGGGUUACAAUUGCGAGCUUUCGAGAAGAGGCUUUGCUUGGGGGUUAGAAAAGAGUUGUUGGGCCAUGAGUGAAGAUCUCAUAGAUUAUGAAGCGAUGUGGGGGCUGCCAAGAUUCCUUCUGCCAUGACCUCCACCAAUCUAGCCAAACUUAGGACGGUGCUAAGGCGUUUCUUGUUGGCUCCGAGCUAAAUUCCACCGAACAGGUAGAGCCUGGUGGUUGGGGCCAACUUAUUUUGGAAGGAGGUCUCCCUCGGUGAGGACAUGCCUCUGCAUGUCUUCCAAAUGCUUUUUCAACCUCGAGUACUUAGUAAAGAUGAGUUAAAUGGGUGGUACUAUAUGAACCUUUAGGGAGCUCAUGCUCCCUUUGUGGUCGGUACUUCUUCUUCCAUUAAGAAGUGAAAGGAAUCAUGGUUAUUGAUAAGGAGGAAGUGGCAAAUGGGUGAGGGAGACAAAGCCCUAGCUUGCAACGUAUCAACCCAGUACUCUAAAGCAUGUGAAUGUCUUCAGUUAUAUAUUGUCUUCCUUUUCUAUAACUUCAACUAAUAUUGCUUCUUUUUGUAGAUUCGGGGUCUCACUUUGAACUGUAUGAGGCGGAGUGGGAUGUAUUUAGGACAUCUACAAAUGCCUUCUGAAGUACUUUGAUCAUUUAAUAGAUAAAAGUAGAUAUUUCUUGGACUUUAGAUUGAUGGCUUCAAAAGGUUAACUCUAGAGCCUUGUGUGGUUUAUUCCUUAGCGCUUUGGUAGUUUCUAACAUUUGUUUUUGCUAUUUGUACAUAAUUUUGAGAAGAAGAAAUAUCCUACCCCUGACAUGGCCUCAAUCUUAAACGCUACUUUGACAGUGGGCACUAGGGCUUUGAAGCCUUCUUCUCGGGUACCAAAUAUGUCGGGGCAAAUUAGAGCUCCUCAGUAAGGACUGUGUCGAUAAAGGUGGCGAGGAAAAGGAUGCUUGAUAUUUUUGUUUACAACCUCAACUUACCCAUUAGCUUGGGGAUGA
This 1164-nucleotide long non-coding RNA is filed under the name Olea europaea subsp. europaea. The record is from RNAcentral. Lineage: Eukaryota; Viridiplantae; Streptophyta; Magnoliopsida; Lamiales; Oleaceae.